RNAcentral lists this unclassified non-coding RNA (330 nucleotides) under soil metagenome. RNAcentral describes it as "partial contains 5.8S ribosomal RNA, internal transcribed spacer 2, and large subunit ribosomal RNA". The stretch from base 1 to 120 matches the Rfam family "5.8S ribosomal RNA", at positions 35 to 154 of the family's 154-position model. The record is from RNAcentral.
GAUGAAGAAGGUAGCGAAAUGCGAUAAGUGAUGUGAAUUGCAGAAUUCAGUGAAUCAUCGAAUCUUUGAACGCACAUUGCGCCCCCUGGUAUUCCGGGGGGCAUGCCUGUUCGAGCGUCAUUUCACCACUCAAGCCUCGCUUGGUAUUGGGCAACGCGGUCCGCCGCGUGCCUCAAAUCGACCGGCUGGGUCUUCUGUCCCCUAAGCGUUGUGGAAACUUUCGCUAAAGGGUGUUCGGGAGGCUACGCCGUAAAACAACCCCAUUUCUAAGGUUGACCUCGGAUCAGGUAGGGAUACCCGCUGAACUUAAGCAUAUCAAUAAGCGGAGGA